GAGGGUAUAGCUAAGUGAUAGGGUGCAUGCUUAGCAUGCAUGAGGUCUUGGGUUCAAUUCCCAGUACCUCUG
This 72-nucleotide transfer RNA is filed under the name Camelus bactrianus (Bactrian camel). It matches the Rfam family "tRNA". From Rfam's summary of the family: Transfer RNA (tRNA) molecules are approximately 80 nucleotides in length. Their secondary structure includes four short double-helical elements and three loops (D, anti-codon, and T loops). Further hydrogen bonds mediate the characteristic L-shaped molecular structure. tRNAs have two regions of fundamental functional importance: the anti-codon, which is responsible for specific mRNA codon recognition, and the 3' end, to which the tRNAs corresponding amino acid is attached (by aminoacyl-tRNA synthetases). tRNAs cope with the degeneracy of the genetic code in two manners: having more than one tRNA (with a specific anti-codon) for a particular amino acid; and 'wobble' base-pairing, i.e. permitting non-standard base-pairing at the 3rd anti-codon position. The record is from Rfam by way of RNAcentral. Lineage: Eukaryota; Metazoa; Chordata; Mammalia; Artiodactyla; Camelidae. RNAcentral also lists the same sequence under 2 other names.